Camelina sativa (false flax) is the source of this 1085-nucleotide non-coding RNA. The record is from RefSeq and is a predicted model, not a curated record. NCBI's taxonomy places the organism in Eukaryota, Viridiplantae, Streptophyta, Magnoliopsida, Brassicales, Brassicaceae.
UACCAAAAGCUUCUAAAACUGGAUUAGACUGGAAAGAGAAUAAUUUAGAACGGUGGAAGCAUUUAUUCGAAGUAGAUAAAAUCAGAGCUACUCCGCUCUCCCCACUGACCAAAAUAGACUGGCUUCUUGCCUCAUUUAUCAUCGCCCUGCAAACAGAUGCGGGCUUAGCUCUCCAAAUGCAGCUCCUUUAUAUUGCUCCAUCAUAUGGACACUAUACAAAUGCGGAAGUCUUUGGAAUGGAUUCACCGCGAUCAAGAUGUUUCCGGUCAAAACGGCAAUCGAGAUUGUGGAGGACCCCUGGCUCAUGGAGUGACUAUUUUGGCAUUGGUGCCUAUGAUUUCAAUCACUUCUCCACUAAUCCAUGCGAGUUCUGGAUCCUCGACCCAGACAUGUGACCCGAGUGUGAUAUUUACAGGAGUCCCCUAUUCAUCAAAACAAGCCUUUCAAUAGUCUCAUCUUAGAAGAAAAGAUAGAAUAUGUAGCAGAAAGUUCUUGGGAAGGCUUACCAUAUUUCAGAGCUCUUCCAAGCUCUUACGCUGAGAAUCUGCAGUAGUUGAAGUAAAGAGAAGGUAAUUUAGAUAGAGAAGAUUAAGCUCUUUGAGGUAGAGAGAGAGACAGAGAUGAAUCACAAAAAGAAAUGAAAAGGCGACUCUGAAUCCAAGAAAAGCCAUAGGAUAUUCUUAUCUAGAAUAUGACCUUUCCCUCACCUCUAUUCUCCUCCAAGUCUGUUCACUGUUUUUGCAGGUUUUAGAGCUUAAGAUGCAGCAAUGGCGGCACAUCAACUUCUUUCAGAUAUUCUCUCUUGGGUCAUUUGCUUUGAAAACCAUGCUUGAGCUUAAGGUCACUCUACAUAUUUUUCUCCUUUUCAAAGCUUUAUGAUGCUUCCUUUUGAGUAUGAAUGGGGUCCUCGUAGGUUAAAAAGAAUGUGAAAUUGCUGCUUUUCGAACUUUAAAGUUGUCUGCUUUACAUUUUGAUAUUGCUACUGCACCAACUUUUUCACUUGAUCGGCCAUUGGCAGGUACUGUUUAGCUGUGAAAGUGAACGUUUUUUUUCUAUUUUUCGUUGAAGACAAUAAUGCCCUUUUA